AGACAGAAGGAGAGAGUGGGCAGUCAGUCAGUCACAGCGGACAGUGAGACUCUCCGUUGGCCUUUCGGACUCCAUCUUUCAUGUUUGAAGGA
Long non-coding RNA from Salarias fasciatus (jewelled blenny), 92 nucleotides. RefSeq lists it as uncharacterized. The record is from RefSeq and is a predicted model, not a curated record. NCBI's taxonomy places the organism in Eukaryota, Metazoa, Chordata, Actinopteri, Blenniiformes, Blenniidae. The transcript has 2 exons.